RNAcentral lists this transfer RNA (67 nucleotides) under Lophotus capellei (unicornfish). Its description in RNAcentral is "tRNA-Ser (AGY)". Lineage: Eukaryota; Metazoa; Chordata; Actinopteri; Lampriformes; Lophotidae. The record is from RNAcentral.
GAGAGAGGCACGAAGCACCAAGUACUGCUAAUUCUUGUUACCCAAGUUAAACUCCUGGGCUCACUCG